Non-coding RNA from Danio rerio (zebrafish), 73 nucleotides. The record is from Rfam. Lineage: Eukaryota; Metazoa; Chordata; Actinopteri; Cypriniformes; Danionidae.
CAGGUGCUGAUUGUCCAAACGCAAUUCUUGUGCUUGUGUGAAACAGGAGUUGUGGAUGGACAUCACGCUCCUG